This 564-nucleotide ribosomal RNA is filed under the name uncultured bacterium. Its description in RNAcentral is "bacterial SSU rRNA". It matches the Rfam family "Bacterial small subunit ribosomal RNA", at positions 372 to 923 of the family's 1533-position model. The record is from RNAcentral.
UGUGCCAAAGCCUGAUGCAGCCAUGCCGCGUGUGUGAUGAAGGCUCUAGGGUUGUAAAGCACUUUCAGUGGGGAGGAAAAGUUUAAGAUUAAUACUCUUGAACCUUGACGUUACCUGCAGAAGAAGCACCGGCAAACUCCGUGCCAGCAGCCGCGGUAAUACGGAGGGUGCGAGCGUUAAUCGGAACUACUGGGCGUAAAGCGCGCGUAGGUGGUUUGAUAAGCUAGCUGCGAAAGCCCCGGGCUCAACCUGGGAACUGCAGUUAGAACUGCCUGGCUAGAGUAUAGUAGAGGGUGGCGGAAUUAUCCUGUGUAUGCGGUGAAAUGCGUAGAUAUAGGAAGGAACAUCAUUGGCGAAUGCUCUCAUCUGUACUAAUUACUGACACUUACGUGCGAAUGCUUGGGGACCUACCUGGAUUAGAUACCCUGGUAGUCCACGCCGUAAACGAUGUCAACUAGCCGUUGGGAGGCUUGACCUCUUUAGUGGCGAAGCUAACGCGAUAAGUUGACCCGCCUGGGGAGUACGGUCGCAAGAUUAAAACUCAAAUGAAUUGACGGGGGCCCC